GGAUCGGGGUUUAUAUAACGCUAUGCAAUCGACUCUGUUUCACGUGGUUUUAGCAUUUACUUUCGUAUAGCGCUUAGCCGCCUGUGAUUUCAUUGUGAAAUGACAAUGCGAAGAAAUGGUUGCAAGGCGACUCCAACAUCACCAAGAGGGAACACAUGGCCACCGUAUCGUCCCUUUUACCGGGAAACCGUAAAUUGAGGAAAAAAAAAAAGUUCACUUACCAGUGGCUUCCUGCGGUCUGAUGCCUGUCUCACGUGAAGAAGAAGCCGGACGGGCAGAUGGAAAGAGUUCCCCCAUAUGCAUUGAAUGGCCUGCUAAACAAAAUUAAACAUUUAUUUAUUGUGGUGCUCCAGGGGCCUUGCAGCAUUACAUAGAGAAAGCAAAUGUUCAGCUUUUUUCAGCAACAGAAACAUAUUCACGCAAGGAGCUGUUGUGUUGUCUUUAAACUAUAUAUCACUGACAAGCAGGCGUCAUGCCAAGGACCAAUCUCACCUGCUGUCACUGAUGAACGGCUGAGGGGCACUGCAGGAAUUGCUGUUUUCCUCAGUGUUCGUCUUGGCAAACCGUGUUUUGGAUCCCACCCAAUGACAGUGUGCAGCUGAAGGUGCCUGUUUGGUGCUCGGCGCGGCUCUCAGCACGUGAUAUACAUGGAUAUAAGGCCAGGUUCCCACGAGGGACUGGACCGGGAGUGAAAUCUGCUUUGGUGCGGUGGAGUCAUGUGGACUGAGGAGCCCGGUCCCAACUGGGCAUUCACACGGGAUGAUGCAUGCGGUCCUGCAAUGUGGUUGAACAGAAAAACUAGACGUUUUGUAUGUUGUGGUACGUUUGAUCUCAAACACUCCACAGUGCAGGAAACCGUUGCACCAGCAAAAAUAGAAAAGAAACUGCUAGCGUUUCAUAACAGUCAUGAUCAUAAUUUAUAUGUUGUUGUUGUUGCUGCAUAGUAAGGUGUGCAUUUCCACGCAGUGCCUUUGUGGGUAUCGUAUUAGGAGAUCCACUUGCUCGUAUUAAACCCUCAUUCUUUUUUU
Long non-coding RNA from Ornithodoros turicata, 1028 nucleotides. RefSeq lists it as uncharacterized. NCBI's taxonomy places the organism in Eukaryota, Metazoa, Arthropoda, Arachnida, Ixodida, Argasidae. The record is from RefSeq and is a predicted model, not a curated record. The transcript is spliced from 4 exons.